Molecule: ribosomal RNA, 305 nt
Filed under: uncultured bacterium
Lineage: Bacteria
Description: bacterial SSU rRNA
Rfam family: Bacterial small subunit ribosomal RNA
Source: RNAcentral
AGUUGCCUACGGGGCGCAGCGGUGGGGAAUAUUGGGCAAUGGGCGCAAGCCUGACCCAGCAACGCCGCGUGAAGGAAGAAGGCUUUCGGGUUGUAAACUUCUUUUAAGAGGGAAGAGAAGAAGACGGUACCUCUUGAAUAAGCCACGGCUAACUACGUGCCAGCAGCCGCGGUAAUACGUAGGGGGCAAGCGUUAUCCGGAUUUACUGGGUGUAAAGGGAGCGCAGGCGGCGUGGCAAGUCAGAUGUGAAAACCCGGGGCCCAACCCCGGGAGUGCAUUUGAAACUGCCAUGCUGGAGUGCCGGG